GGCAACUGUGAGGGCGUCAAGCGCACCCUGAGCUUCUCCCUGAGUUUCAGGGAGAAACUGGAAGAACUUUGCCCUGGUUCCCCUUCUGAGGGAUGCAAGCACUCGAGAUAGACAUGCCACCCAGCAGGAAGAAGUUCAACUGAAGCAUUAUACGGGAUCCCUUAAGCCAGAGGAUGCUGAGGUUUUCAAGGAUUCCAUGGUCCCAGGGGAGAAAUAAUGGACACUAUGCAGGGGUCAAUGCGGGGUCUUUGGGUGGUCUGCUUAGGGAACCAGCAGGGUUGACGUUAUCUGGGUCCACUCUGUGCCUGCCUAGGCACAUUCCUAGGACUUCGGCGGGCCUGCUGUGGGAACUGGGAGGUGUGUGGGAAUUGAGAUGUGUAUCCAACCAUGAUCUCCAAACAUUUGGCUUUCAACUCUUUAUGGACUUUAUUAAACAGAGUGAAUGGCAAAUCUCUACUUGG
Molecule: long non-coding RNA, 461 nt
Filed under: Rattus norvegicus (Norway rat)
Lineage: Eukaryota; Metazoa; Chordata; Mammalia; Rodentia; Muridae
Description: long non-coding RNA NONRATT004541
Source: RNAcentral